RNAcentral lists this ribosomal RNA (432 nucleotides) under uncultured bacterium. RNAcentral's name for it is "bacterial SSU rRNA". It matches the Rfam family "Bacterial small subunit ribosomal RNA", at positions 917 to 1350 of the family's 1533-position model. The record is from RNAcentral.
GGGCCCGCACAAGCGGUGGAGUAUGUGGUUUAAUUCGAUGCAACGCGAAGAACCUUACCAGGGUUUGACAUCCUGCGAAUCUCUUGGAAACGAGAGAGUGCCUUCGGGAGCGCAGUGACAGGUGGUGCAUGGCUGUCGUCAGCUCGUGUCGUGAGAUGUUGGGUUAAGUCCCGCAACGAGCGCAACCCUUGAUCUUAGUUGCCAGCAUUCAGUUGGGCACUCUAAGGUGACUGCCGGUGACAAACCGGAGGAAGGUGGGGAUGACGUCAAAUCAUCAUGCCCCUUAUGACCUGGGCUACACACGUGCUACAAUGGACGGUACAAAGGGCUGCAAACCCGCGAGGGGGAGCCAAUCCCAGAAAACCGUUCUCAGUUCGGAUUGCAGGCUGCAACUCGCCUGCAUGAAGCCGGAAUCGCUAGUAAUCGCGGAUC